This 497-nucleotide ribosomal RNA is filed under the name uncultured bacterium. RNAcentral describes it as "partial 16S ribosomal RNA". It matches the Rfam family "Bacterial small subunit ribosomal RNA", at positions 28 to 507 of the family's 1533-position model. The record is from RNAcentral.
GAUGAACGCUGGCGGCGUGCCUAAUACAUGCAAGUCGAGCGAACAGAUAAGGAGCUUGCUCCUUUGACGUUAGCGGCGGACGGGUGAGUAACACGUGGGUAACCUACCUAUAAGACUGGGAUAACUUCGGGAAACCGGAGCUAAUACCGGAUAACAUUUGGAACCGCAAGGUUCUAAAGUGAAAGAAGGUUUUGCUCUCUCUUAUAGAUGGACCCGCGCCGUAUUUGCUAGUUGGUAAGGUAACGGCUUACCAACGCAACGAUACGUAGCCGACCUGAGAGGGUGAUCGGCCCCCCUGGAUCUGAGACACGCUCCGGACUCCUACGGGAGGCAGCCGUCGGGGAUCUUCCGCAAUGGGCGGAAGCCUGACGGAGCAACGCCGCGUGAGUGAUGAAGGGUUUCGGUUCGUAAAACUCUGUUAUUAGGGAAGAACGAACGUGUAAGUAACUGUGCACGGCUUGACGGUACCUAAUCAGAAAGCCACGGCUAACUACGUG